RNAcentral lists this ribosomal RNA (539 nucleotides) under uncultured Acidobacteriota bacterium. Its description in RNAcentral is "bacterial SSU rRNA". It matches the Rfam family "Bacterial small subunit ribosomal RNA", at positions 13 to 529 of the family's 1533-position model. The record is from RNAcentral. Lineage: Bacteria; Pseudomonadati; Acidobacteriota.
UUGAUCCUGGCUCAGAAUCAACGCUGGCGGCGUGCCUCAGACAUGCAAGUCGAACGCGAAAGUUCCCCGCAAGGGGAGCGAGUAGAGUGGCGCUCGGGUUAGUAACACGUAGGUAAUCUGCCUUUGGGUGGGGAAUAACAGCCGGAAACUGCUGCUAAUACCGCAUAAUGCAGCGGCUCGACAUCGAGACAGUUGUUAAUGCGGGGGAUCGCAAGACCUCGCGCCUAAAGAGGAGCCUGCGGCGGAUUAUCUAGUUGGUAAGGUAAUGGCUUACCAAGGCUUCGAUCUGUAGCCGGCCUUAGAGGGCGGUCGGCCACACUGACACUUAAAUACGGGUCAGACUCCUACGUGAGGCAGCAGUCGGGAAUUUUGGGCAAUGGGCGCAAGCCUGACCCAGCAUCGCCGCGUGAAGGAUGAAAUCCCCCGGGAUGUAAACUUCGUAAGAACGGUAAGAAUAAGUGGGGGACAAUACCCCCCAUGAUGACGGUACCGUUUGUAAUCUCCGGCUAACUCCGUGCCAGCAGCCGCGGUAAUAAGGU